This 203-nucleotide ribosomal RNA is filed under the name uncultured bacterium. RNAcentral's name for it is "partial 16S ribosomal RNA". It matches the Rfam family "Bacterial small subunit ribosomal RNA", at positions 15 to 218 of the family's 1533-position model. The record is from RNAcentral.
AAUCAUGGCUCAGAUUGAACGCUGGCGGCAGGCCUAACACAUGCAAGUCGAACGGUAACAGGAAGCAGCUUGCUGCUUCGCUGACGAGUGGCGGACGGGUGAGUAAUGUCUGGGAAACUGCCUGAUGGAGGGGGAUAACUACUGGAAACGGUAGCUAAUACCGCAUAAUGUCGCAAGACCAAAGAGGGGGACCUCGGCUCUGC